This 396-nucleotide ribosomal RNA is filed under the name uncultured bacterium. Its description in RNAcentral is "partial 16S ribosomal RNA". It matches the Rfam family "Bacterial small subunit ribosomal RNA", at positions 523 to 918 of the family's 1533-position model. The record is from RNAcentral.
AUACGUAGGGAGCGAGCGUUGUCCGGAAUUACUGGGUGUAAAGGGUGCGUAGGCGGGACUGCAAGUCAGAUGUGAAAUGCCGGGGCUCAACCCCGGAGCUGCAUUUGAAACUGUGGUUCUUGAGUGAGGUAGAGGUAAGCGGAAUUCCUAGUGUAGCGGUGAAAUGCGUAGAUAUUAGGAGGAACAUCGGUGGCGAAGGCGGCUUACUGGGCCUUUACUGACGCUGAGGCACGAAAGCGUGGGGAGCAAACAGGAUUAGAUGCCCUGGUAGUCCACGCUGUAAACGAGGAUUACUAGGUGUGGGGGGACUGACCCCUUCCGUGCCGCAGUUAACACAAUAAGUAAUCCACCUGGGGAGUACGGCCGCAAGGUUGAAACUCAAAGGAAUUGACGGGG